This 83-nucleotide transfer RNA is filed under the name Candidatus Limadaptatus stercorigallinarum. RNAcentral's name for it is "tRNA-Leu". It matches the Rfam family "tRNA". Rfam says of the family: Transfer RNA (tRNA) molecules are approximately 80 nucleotides in length. Their secondary structure includes four short double-helical elements and three loops (D, anti-codon, and T loops). The record is from RNAcentral. RNAcentral also lists the same sequence under 1 other name. Lineage: Bacteria; Bacillati; Bacillota; Clostridia; Eubacteriales.
GCAGUCGUGGCGAAAUUGGCAGACGCGCCGGAUUUAGGUUCCGGUGGGAAACCGUAUGGGUUCGAGUCCCUUCGACUGCACCA